This 909-nucleotide ribosomal RNA is filed under the name uncultured Treponema sp. RNAcentral describes it as "bacterial SSU rRNA". It matches the Rfam family "Bacterial small subunit ribosomal RNA", at positions 8 to 903 of the family's 1533-position model. Lineage: Bacteria; Pseudomonadati; Spirochaetota; Spirochaetia; Treponematales; Treponemataceae. The record is from RNAcentral.
AGAGUUUGAUCCUGGCUCAGAACGAACGCUGGCGGCGCGUCUUAAGCAUGCAAGUCGAACGGCAAGAGAGAAGCUUGCUUCUCUCCUAGAGUGGCGGACUGGUGAGGAACACGUGGGUAAUCUACCCUUAAGAUGGGGAUAGCUGUUAGAAAUAGCAGGUAAUACCGAAUACACUCGAUAGUUCAUAAGAAGUAUUGAGGAAAGGAAGCUACGGCUUCGCUUGAGGAUGAGCUUGCGUCCCAUUAGCUAGUUGGUGAGGUAACGGCCCACCAAGGCGACGAUGGGUAUCCGGCCUGAGAGGGUGAACGGACACAUUGGGACUGAGAUACGGCCCAAACUCCUACGGGAGGCAGCAGCUAAGAAUAUUCCGCAAUGGACGGAAGUCUGACGGAGCGACGCCGCGUGGAUGAAGAAGGCUGAAAAGUUGUAAAAUCCUUUUGUUGAUGAAGAAUAAGGGGAAGAGGGAAUGCUUCUCUGAUGACGGUAGUCGGCGAAUAAGCCCCGGCUAAUUACGUGCCAGCAGCCGCGGUAACACGUAAGGGGCGAGCGUUGUUCGGAAUUAUUGGGCGUAAAGGGCAUGUAGGCGGUUAUGUAAGCCUGAUGUGAAAUCCUGGGGCUUAACCCCAGAAUAGCAUUGGGUACUGUGUAACUUGAAUUACGGAAGGGAAACUGGAAUUCCAAGUGUAGGGGUGGAAUCUGUAGAUAUUUGGAAGAACACCGGUGGCGAAGGCGGGUUUCUGGCCGAUAAUUGACGCUGAGAUGCGAAAGUGUGGGGAUCGAACAGGAUUAGAUACCCUGGUAGUCCACACCGUAAACGAUGUACACUAGGUGUUGGGGCAAGAGCUUCAGUGCCAAAGCAAACGCGAUAAGUGUACCGCCUGGGGAGUAUGCCCGCAAGGGUGAAACUCA